Molecule: ribosomal RNA, 497 nt
Filed under: uncultured bacterium
Lineage: Bacteria
Description: partial 16S ribosomal RNA
Rfam family: Bacterial small subunit ribosomal RNA
Source: RNAcentral
GACGAACGCUGGCGGCGUGCCUAAUACAUGCAAGUUGAGCGCUGAAGGUUGGUACUUGUACCAACUGGAUGAGCAGCGAACGGGUGAGUAACGCGUGGGGAAUCUGCCUUUGAGCGGGGGACAACAUUUGGAAACGAAUGCUAAUACCGCAUAAAAACUUUAAACACAAGUUUUAAGUUUGAAAGAUGCAAUUGCAUCACUCAAAGAUGAUCCCGCGUUGUAUUAGCUAGUUGGUGAGGUAAAGGCUCACCAAGGCGAUGAUACAUAGCCGACCUGAGAGGGUGAUCGGCCACAUUGGGACUGAGACACGGCCCAAACACCUACGGGAGGCAGCAGUAGGGAAUCUUCGGCAAUGGACGAGAGUCUGACCGAGCAACGCCGCGUGAGUGAAGAAGGUUUUCGGAUCGUAAAACUCUGUUGGUAGAGAAGAACGUUGGUGAGAGUGGAAAGCUCAUCAAGUGACGGUAACUACCCAGAAAGGGACGGCUAACUACGUG